This 534-nucleotide ribosomal RNA is filed under the name uncultured bacterium. RNAcentral describes it as "bacterial SSU rRNA". It matches the Rfam family "Bacterial small subunit ribosomal RNA", at positions 8 to 526 of the family's 1533-position model. The record is from RNAcentral.
AGAGUUUGAUCAUGGCUCAGAGCGAACGUUAGCGGCAGGCCUAACACAUGCAAGUCGCGCGAGAAAGCGGGGUUCGCCCCGCCUGUAAAGCGGCGCACGGGUGAGUAACGCGUGGAUAAUCUGCCCUUCGAUGGAGGACAACAACCCGAAAGGGUUGCUAAUACUGCAUACGUCGGCGAGGCCCUCGGGCCAUGCCGGGAAAGUCGCCGCAAGGUGGCGUCGAAGGAGGAGUCCGCGUCCCAUCAGCUAGUUGGUAAGGUAACGGCUUACCAAGGCGAAGACGGGUAGCUGGUCUGAGAGGAUGAUCAGCCACACUGGGACUGAGACACGGCCCAGACUCCUACGGGAGGCAGCAGUGGGGAAUAUUGGACAAUGGGCGCAAGCCUGAUCCAGCCAUGCCGCGUGAGUGAUGAAGGCCUUCGGGUCGUAAAGCUCUGUGGAGAGGGAAGAAUCCUUGCAGCAUCAGAUCCUGCAAGUUGACGGUACCUCUUUAGCAAGCACCGGGCUAACUCGUGCCAGCAGCCGCGGUAAUAC